Molecule: long non-coding RNA, 1075 nt
Organism: Salmo salar (Atlantic salmon)
Lineage: Eukaryota; Metazoa; Chordata; Actinopteri; Salmoniformes; Salmonidae
Source: RefSeq, a predicted model, not a curated record
GGGCGUCAACAGGUAGCUAAUGUUACUCACUGGACCAGCCAUAGAACAUCAGCUUACAAUAACUAUCUAUUUUAAUUUUUCUGUUGACAACAACUGCAAAGUGUAGUGUAUGUGCAACUACAAGCAAGUACAGGCUUCUGGGGUAACAUUUCAUCAGCUACCUGCGGAGAUAUUCCUCGGAGCCGACAGUGGCUGGCGGCAAUAAAGAACGUUGCUUAUAAUGUGAAUCCUCCCGUGGAGAAUUCUGUGUUUAAGGCCAGCACUUUCAGCCUGCAGAUUUCGAAAAUGACCUGAUAAAAAUGAUCUCAACCGAUGGGGUUGCCAGGUCGUAGAAAGUUGAAAAGUGAAGCUAUUCCAUUGAUUUCCCCCAUCACUUCAAAGAGGAAGGCAUCCAAUCAGCCAACAUCAGCGCAGCAGAAAACAAGUCCAGCAGAGAGUCCGAUCCCAUCAACAUCUGCAGCUUCAUCAACAUCAAGCUCAGCACCAGGAACUAGUGAGACUUGCAGUACAAACAAAUCUUCUGCAAGAAGUCGAAGUAGUGGGUGAUGAAGAAAGUGUACGAGCCCAGAACCGACCACUUCAGGGAGAAGCUUGUCCGCCUGGCUGCGGAGCGGAGAAAGGACAAGACGGCGGUCUACAAGCAGCCAGAAUCACAGCUUCCCAAACCCAACAACCCUGCCAACAGUGCCAAAGCGUCCCUAAACCAGCUGCCAUAGCCCAAAACAAGACAAGGUUUACCAGCUGAAAAACAUUCAGGACCCUGUCUGGAACAUUCAGCCUACACAACAUCCAUAUUCAUUUAGACUGAUGUUGUAGUAUAAUAUAGAAUGCCUAGUAUGCUCACAACUGCAUUGUGGUAUAGAUAUUUCUAGCUCUUGUAUACAUGUAUAUAAUGGAGUUUGAUCAAAUGUUUUAUAUAAUCUUUUUUACAAGUGUACUGACAAGUGGCUAAAUGAUUCCAGCAGCAUCAGAAAACAAAGUGUUGACUUCAACUUCUUCUUUGCAGCUCCUUCAGGGUUAUCUUUGGUCUCUUUGUUGCCUCUCUGAUUAAUGCCCUCUUUGUCUGGUCCGUGAG